RNAcentral lists this transfer RNA (92 nucleotides) under Clostridium omnivorum. Its description in RNAcentral is "tRNA-Ser". It matches the Rfam family "tRNA". Rfam says of the family: Transfer RNA (tRNA) molecules are approximately 80 nucleotides in length. Their secondary structure includes four short double-helical elements and three loops (D, anti-codon, and T loops). Further hydrogen bonds mediate the characteristic L-shaped molecular structure. tRNAs have two regions of fundamental functional importance: the anti-codon, which is responsible for specific mRNA codon recognition, and the 3' end, to which the tRNAs corresponding amino acid is attached (by aminoacyl-tRNA synthetases). tRNAs cope with the degeneracy of the genetic code in two manners: having more than one tRNA (with a specific anti-codon) for a particular amino acid; and 'wobble' base-pairing, i.e. permitting non-standard base-pairing at the 3rd anti-codon position. Lineage: Bacteria; Bacillati; Bacillota; Clostridia; Eubacteriales; Clostridiaceae. The record is from RNAcentral.
GGAGAGAUACUCAAGUGGCUAAAGAGGACGGUUUGCUAAACCGUUAGUACGGGUAUCCCGUAGCAUGGGUUCGAAUCCCAUUCUCUCCGCCA